RNAcentral lists this ribosomal RNA (272 nucleotides) under uncultured Bartonella sp. RNAcentral describes it as "partial 16S ribosomal RNA". It matches the Rfam family "Bacterial small subunit ribosomal RNA", at positions 31 to 331 of the family's 1533-position model. Lineage: Bacteria; Pseudomonadati; Pseudomonadota; Alphaproteobacteria; Hyphomicrobiales; Bartonellaceae. The record is from RNAcentral.
GAACGCUGGCGGCAGGCUUAACACAUGCAAGUCGAACGCACUUUUCGGAGUGAGUGGCAGACGGGUGAGUAACGCGUGGGAAUCUACCUAUUUCUACGGAAUAACGCAGAGAAAUUUGUGCUAAUACCGUAUACGUCCUAUUGGAGAAAGAUUUAUCGGAGAUAGAUGAGCCCGCGUUGGAUUAGCUAGUUGGUGAGGUAAUGGCCCACCAAGGCGACGAUCCAUAGCUGGUCUGAGAGGAUGACCAGCCACAUUGGGACUGAGACACGGCC